RNAcentral lists this ribosomal RNA (692 nucleotides) under Salmonella enterica. RNAcentral's name for it is "partial 23S ribosomal RNA". It matches the Rfam family "Bacterial large subunit ribosomal RNA", at positions 711 to 1318 of the family's 2925-position model. The record is from RNAcentral. RNAcentral also lists the same sequence under 5 other names. Lineage: Bacteria; Pseudomonadati; Pseudomonadota; Gammaproteobacteria; Enterobacterales; Enterobacteriaceae.
AGACCCGAAACCCGGUGAUCUAGCCAUGGGCAGGUUGAAGGUUGGGUAACACUAACUGGAGGACCGAACCGACUAAUGUUGAAAAAUUAGCGGAUGACCUGUGGCUGGGGGUGAAAGGCCAAUCAAACCGGGAGAUAGCUGGUUCUCCCCGAAAGCUAUUUAGGUAGCGCCUCGUGAAUUCAUCUCCGGGGGUAGAGCACUGUUUCGGCUAGGGGGCCAUCCCGGCUUACCAACCCGAUGCAAACUGCGAAUACCGGAGAAUGUUAUCACGGGAGACACACGGCGGGUGCUAACGUCCGUCGUGAAGAGGGAAACAACCCAGACCGCCAGCUAAGGUCCCAAAGUCAUGGUUAAGUGGGAAACGAUGUGGGAAGGCCCAGACAGCCAGGAUGUUGGCUUAGAAGCAGCCAUCAUUUAAAGAAAGCGUAAUAGCUCACUGGUCGAGUCGGCCUGCGCGGAAGAUGUAACGGGGCUAAACCAUGCACCGAAGCUGCGGCAGCGAACGUAUCACUUAAAGCGAUUCAGCGGGUUACGAUUGACGGAGCGAAGCGACGUCAAAGCGUAUACAAAGUCGAGUCGGUUUAAGGAUACGUUCGUUGGGUAGGGGAGCGUUCUGUAAGCCUGUGAAGGUGGCCUGUGAGGGUUGCUGGAGGUAUCAGAAGUGCGAAUGCUGACAUAAGUAACGAUAAAGC